AGUGAACGCUGGCGGUAGGCCUAACACAUGCAAGUCGAACGGCAGCACAGUAAGAGCUUGCUCUUACGGGUGGCGAGUGUCGGACUGGCGGGGCAUACAUCUGACUCUACUUUUUCGUUGGGGCUAACGUAGGGCAACUUACGCUAAUACCGCAUACGACCUACGGGUGAAAGCAUGGGAUCUUCGGACCUUGCGCGAUUGAAUGAGCCGAUGUCGGAUUAGCUAGUUGGCGGGGUAAAGGCCCACCAAGGCGACGAUCCGUAGCUGGUCUGAGAGGAUGAUCAGCCACACUGGAAGUGAGACACGGUCCAGACUCCUAAGGGAGGCAGCAGUGGGGAAAAUGGGACAAUGGGCGAAAGACGGAGCAAGCAAUACCGCGUGGGUGAAGAAGGCCUGAGGGUUGUAAAGGCUUGUUGUUGGGAAAGAAAAGCAGAAGGUUAAUACCCCGCUGUACUGACGGUACCAAAAGAAUAAGCACCGGCUAACUUCGUG
This 492-nucleotide ribosomal RNA is filed under the name uncultured bacterium. RNAcentral describes it as "partial 16S ribosomal RNA". It matches the Rfam family "Bacterial small subunit ribosomal RNA", at positions 29 to 507 of the family's 1533-position model. The record is from RNAcentral.